Molecule: ribosomal RNA, 469 nt
Filed under: uncultured Saprospiraceae bacterium
Lineage: Bacteria; Pseudomonadati; Bacteroidota; Saprospiria; Saprospirales; Saprospiraceae
Description: bacterial SSU rRNA
Rfam family: Bacterial small subunit ribosomal RNA
Source: RNAcentral
GAUGAACGCUAGCGGGAGGCUUAAUACAUGCAAGUCGAACGGUAACAGGGGAAACCUAGUUUUCUGCUGACGAGUGGCGCACGGGUGAGUAACGCGUACGGAUCUGCCUUAUACUGGAGGACAUACACUGGAAACGGAGUAAAUACUCCAUAGUCUCGUUUACGAGUAAAGCUACGGCGGUAUAAGAUGAUCGUGCGUUAGAUUAGCUAGUUGGUAAGGUAACGGCUUACCAAGGCGAUGAUCUAUAGGGGGCGUGAGAGCGUGAACCCCCACACGGGUACUGAGACACGGACCCGACUCCUACGGGAGGCAGCAGUAAGGAAUAUUGGACAAUGGAGGCAACUCUGAUCCAGCCAUCCUGCGUGAAGGAAGAAGGCGCUCAGCGUUGUAAACUUCUUUUAUCUACCAAGAAAGGUAUUCAUGUAUGAGUAUUUGACGGUAGUAGAUGAAUAAGCACCGGCUAACUCCG